This 625-nucleotide long non-coding RNA is filed under the name Homo sapiens (human). RNAcentral's name for it is "HSALNT0272818". Lineage: Eukaryota; Metazoa; Chordata; Mammalia; Primates; Hominidae. The record is from RNAcentral.
UUGCAGGUAGAAGAUCAUCUGAAAUUUGCCGGAUUGAAUUCAAGUAGGAAGAUGGGGCUGGUUCACUGUGCCCAGAGGCUCAGCAGGCAGCGUGACAACUGUCCCCUGUGCUAAGCAACUUCACAUAGGAAACGGUAUUUUCCAAGAAGAAAGGGAAUCAAGCUUGACUUGCAGAACCAAUAAAAGCCCCUUGGGAAACCUGGCCUCACACCUUGUCUACACAGUUCCUUUACAGGGUUCGUAACCUGUGUUUUUGUCUGCAUUUUAGACUAACCCUGCUUAUUCCUGUGAACCAACCAGUGAUCUCCAGCUGCAGCUCAGAAGAAACAGAAGGGCUGGGCCAUCAAACUGCAAAUGGUCAUGCAACUGGAGCCUCAGACAAUGGCUCCCUUUUGUCAGGGACCCUUAGAGAGGCCUCUGAGGGAGAACUGACUGCCAUUUUCCCAAAAUGGCACCUCCUGUCAGCAUGAAGCAGUUAAGAUCGGUCACCGUUCUUAUCCUAAUGACAGUUAGAGGAAUAUGGGCCAGGUGCGGUGGCUCACACCUUCAAUCCCGGCACUUUGGGAGGCUGAGACGGGUGGAUCACCUGACAUCAGGAGUUCAAGACCAGCCUAGCCAACAUGAU